RNAcentral lists this ribosomal RNA (1411 nucleotides) under metagenome. RNAcentral describes it as "bacterial SSU rRNA". It matches the Rfam family "Bacterial small subunit ribosomal RNA". The record is from RNAcentral.
CCUGGCGGCGAGUGGCGAACGGGUGAGUAAUAUAUCGGAACGUACCCUGGAGUGGGGGAUAACGUAGCGAAAGUUACGCUAAUACCGCAUACGAUCUAAGGAUGAAAGCAGGGGACCGCAAGGCCUUGUGCUCCUGGAGCGGCCGAUAUCUGAUUAGCUAGUUGGUGGGGUAAAGGCCCACCAAGGCAUCGAUCAGUAGCUGGUCUGAGAGGACGACCAGCCACACUGGAACUGAGACACGGUCCAGACUCCUACGGGAGGCAGCAAUGGGGAAUUUUGGACAAUGGGCGCAAGCCUGAUCCAGCAAUGCCGCGUGAGUGAAGAAGGCCUUCGGGUUGUAAAGCUCUUUUGUCAGGGAAGAAACGGUGAGGGCUAAUAUCCCUUGCUAAUGACGGUACCUGAAGAAUAAGCACCGGCUAACUACGUGCCAGCAGCCGCGGUAAUACGUAGGGUGCAAGCGUUAAUCGGAAUUACUGGGCGUAAAGCGUGCGCAGGCGGUUUUGUAAGUUUGUCGUGAAAUCCCCGGGCUCAACCUGGGAAUGGCGAUGAAGACUGCAAGGCUAGAGUUUGGCAGAGGGGGGUAGAAUUCCACGUGUAGCAGUGAAAUGCGUAGAUAUGUGGAGGAACACCGAUGGCGAAGGCAGCCCCCUGGGUCAAAACUGACGCUCAUGCACGAAAGCGUGGGGAGCAAACAGGAUUAGAUACCCUGGUAGUCCACGCCCUAAACGAUGUCUACUAGUUGUCAGGUCUUAAUUGACUUGGUAACGCAGCUAACGCGUGAAGUAGACCGCCUGGGGAGUACGGUCGCAAGAUUAAAACUCAAAGGAAUUGACGGGGACCCGCACAAGCGGUGGAUGAUGUGGAUUAAUUCGAUGCAACGCGAAAAACCUUACCUACCCUUGACAUGGCAGAAAUCCCGGAGAGAUUUGGGAGUGCUCGAAAGAGAAUCUGCACACAGGUGCUGCAUGGCUGUCGUCAGCUCGCGUCGUGAGAUGUUGGGUUAAGUCCCGCAACGAGCGCAACCCUUGUCAUAGUUGCUACGAAAGAGCACUCUAAUGAGACUGCCGGUGACAAACCGGAGGAAGGUGGGGAUGACGUCAAGUCCUCAUGGCCCUUAUGGGUAGGGCUUCACACGUCAUACAAUGGUACAUACAGAGGGCCGCCAACCCGCGAGGGGGAGCUAAUCCCAGAAAGUGUAUCGUAGUCCGGAUUGUAGUCUGCAACUCGACUGCAUGAAGUUGGAAUCGCUAGUAAUCGCGGAUCAGCAUGUCGCGGUGAAUACGUUCCCGGGUCUUGUACACACCGCCCGUCACACCAUGGGAGCGGGUUUUACCAGAAGUAGGUAGCUUAACCGCAAGGGGGGCGCUUACCACGGUAGGAUUCGUGACUGGGGUGAAGUCGUAACAAGGUA